Molecule: transfer RNA, 87 nt
Filed under: Chloroflexota bacterium
Lineage: Bacteria; Bacillati; Chloroflexota
Description: Chloroflexi bacterium tRNA-Leu
Rfam family: tRNA
About the family: Transfer RNA (tRNA) molecules are approximately 80 nucleotides in length.
Source: RNAcentral
GCCGAAGUGGCGGAAUUGGCAGACGCGCUACGUUCAGGUCGUAGUGGGCUUACGCUCGUGUGAGUUCGAGUCUCACCUUCGGCACCA